CUACGGGAUGCAGCAGUUAAGAAUCUUCCGCAAUGGACGAAAGUCUGACGGAGCGACGCCGCGUGGGUGAAGAAGGCCGAGAGGUUGUAAAGCCCUUUUCUGCUUGAGGAAUAAGCCUGGUAGGGAAUGACCGGGUGAUGACGGUAGGGCAGGAAUAAGCCCCGGCUAAUUACGUGCCAGCAGCCGCGGUAACACGUAUGGGGCGAGCGUUGUUCGGAAUCAUUGGGCGUAAAGGGCGUGUAGGCGGAAAUGCAAGUCUGGUGUGAAAGACCGCAGCUCAACUGCGGGGACGCGCUGGAAACUGCAUAUCUUGAGUUCCGGAGGGGGAGUUGGAAUUCCUGGUGUAGGGGUGAAAUCUGUUGAUAUCAGGAAGAACAUCGGUGGCGAAGGCGAACUCCUGGACGAGAACUGACGCUGAGGCGCGAAAGCGUGGGGAGCGAACAGGAUUAGAUACCCUAGUAGUC
Molecule: ribosomal RNA, 464 nt
Filed under: uncultured bacterium
Lineage: Bacteria
Description: partial 16S ribosomal RNA
Rfam family: Bacterial small subunit ribosomal RNA
Source: RNAcentral